AGAAAUCUAAUUCAAUGCUCUACUUGAAAAUCUCUGAUCAUGCUUUUGGAUCAGAGCUUUUCUCAAAUGUUACAUCUUUUCUAGGAUUGUAUUUAUUUGCAAAAGCAUUUCCUUAGAAGUUUUAAAACUGUUUAAUAUAUUCAUUCUUUGUUUUUAUAGGCAUACUGAGUAAAGCCCAUAUUUUCAAUUUCAUAUACAUGUCUUCCAGGAAAAAAAUUGUUUUCAGCAUGGGACACAUCUUCUGUAAUGACUCCUUGUCAAAUAUGUACUCUUCAAAAUAAAGUACAAAAAGUUGUGAGUUUUCCAAUCUUAGAGGAAAAGAAUAGAGGAAAUGGUGCAAUUCACACACCUGCAGAAACUCCAGGGGUGGUUGAGCAUGUGACGGAUGAUUGAACCAAAGGUUUCCUUUCAAGGGUAGAAGUUUAAAAUAUGGAGAAGAUCAGUGAAAGAGCAGAGCAUAGACGUAUGCACUUGGAAGAAGCCCAAACAAUCCACCAGCAACUCAUGAGCUAGCAGCAGAAAAGAUGACAGAGCUGGGGCUGGCAGAGCGAGGAAUGAAAGAGAGAGAACAGAUCAGUGUUCAGUUUGAAAGAGCCAUAAUUCAGCAGUCUUUCUACAUUACCUCUCAGAAUAAGGAGCCUGCGUGUCUAAAGAGAGAAGUGAAGUUUAAGUACUGGAAAAAAGGAAAGUCUUCAGCCUUGGGAAUGUAAUAACUUGGGGUCAGCUGAGAACCCUGAGGAGUACUGACCCAAUCAGCUGCUGGGAGAAGCAACAUAACUGUUCUGCUGGAGGGAGAAACAAAUUCUAAUCAGAUGUGAGCCAACCAUCCAGGGAGCUUCUGUUGUCAUGAGAAAAGGAAGUGCUCUUCCUUUCAACUGGAAAACUAGAAUGUGCCACUUUUUUUUUGUUAAUGCUCCCUCUUUUCUUUUUUUAUUAGCUUUGUAAUAAAAAUUUAAUUUAAAAGUUGAUAUGCAAACAAGAAGUGUGUAACAAUCUGAAUAUUUAACAUUGAUAGAUUUAUCUAUUUUAGAAAAUUAAAGUGAAUAUAUCUGAGUUUUAGAGUUUAAUGUUUACUGCACACAGGAUGAAACAGAAACUAAACUUUGUUACAUUUUUAAAAAAUUCUUUAACUUAUUCAGUUGGAUUUACUGUUUGUAAAGUGAAAAGAAACUCUUUUUCUCCAAAAUUUUUGUCCUUUACUGAGUGACUUUAGAAAAUUGAUUUCACUAUUCCAAGUUUUAGUUUUUUAUUCAGAAAUUAAGAAAUAUGUCAGUAUGUGUCUAUUAUUACUGUAGAUCACUUCUUGGCCUUUUGGCUAAGAUCAAGUGUAUUAUUAUUAUAGAAUGGGUUCUCAGAUAAAGAAAAAAACUAAGAAUUUUCUCAGAUUUUUGGGAGUAUUUCAUUAUAAAAACAAAAACUAUAUAAGAUUAAAUUGAUAUUACCUUUUCGAUGGACUCACUUGAAAAAGAGUUACAAGAUGCAAUUUGAGGAGUUUUACGGGCCAAUGUUAAGGCUAGGCAUACAUUUUCUAUUUUGAAAUCUCUGGUAUCUUUGUGGUACCCAGAAUAUGUAGUGAGGUAAAUAGAUAUCACCUUAAGAA
Molecule: long non-coding RNA, 1600 nt
Filed under: Pan paniscus (pygmy chimpanzee)
Lineage: Eukaryota; Metazoa; Chordata; Mammalia; Primates; Hominidae
Description: lncRNA (ENSPPAG00000044170.1)
Rfam family: U2 spliceosomal RNA (bases 1296-1403)
Source: RNAcentral